AUGAGGUCUGACGCUCUGGACACUGGAGACUUCAGCCUCACUCUGAGAAAACCAACAAAGACUGACAGCAGCAACUACAGCUGCUCCAUCAGUUAUAGAAGCCAUGGAGUAGAACGUAGACUGACAGACAUAGAGCUGGAGGUCAAAGACCAGCAGGUGAUUGUGAAGGUGGUAGAAGAAUCGCAGUCUGCCAUCUUGCCCUGCAAAACGACAGCUGACCUCUCACAGGAUACCACGGUUGAGUGGACUCGCUCUGAUGUAGACUUGAUGUUGGUCCAUGUGUACUCAAAGACACGUAACACCAUCAGGGAACAGGAUGGCUUUUACAGAGUCCGAACGAUGAUGAAUGAAGACCCGCUAAGAACUGGAGACCUCAGUCUGACCCUGAAAUACCCCACAGAUGGAGACAGUGGAGGAUACAUCUGCACCAUCUACAGGGACAAAGACAUCCUGAGACAGAAAGUAGUGCUGCAGGUCAAAGGUCAGUGUAGUAAAUGCAGGUCAGAGGUCACUGCUACAAGUAAGAGCGUAAGAGUUCAAUUUCUUAUUUUAUUGUUUCUUCUUAGAACGAUCUUGGGUCAAAGUUCUCCUGGUUCUUCUUAUUUUUGGAGGCCUUUUAUAUCAUUUCCGGCACUAUUUCAUGUCAGGUGAGUGUCUCCUACUACACUACCCAUAAUGCCGAUGGUUAGCAGGUGUCCUUGGUGGCUCCUUGACUGCGGCUCACACAAACUUGUUCCAGAAGCUGAAAGAGUUGAGAGUUACAAACAGCUGAUACAGAGAGCUGAAGAGAAACUUCCAGGUUUGUUCCAGAAGUCAGAAAACCUCCUUCAGACUCAGUCAUUGAUCAGUGAAACAGCUCCACAACAUGACUUUACUAAACAGUGUGUGUGCUUCACUGCAUUGAUCUGACACAGAGGCUGCAUGUGUCCAAGCUGUUCUUCUUCUGUGGUGGUAAACAUCAGGCUGACAUGGAAACAUGUGCUGACAGUAAAUGUUCCUCCUUGAGUUGUGCUCAGUCAUGUGGUGGAGAGCUUCAGAUGUUCAGAGCAGACACAUGAGAUCUUCAUGGUUUCUGUGCUGAUGUGUGUGAGACAUGGCCGACUGUGGAGGCUCAGUCUGUCUGUUCUUCUGCUCUUCAUCCAACAUGUCUGCAGCACUUUACAGGACGCUGCAGACUAGUUACCAAAGAACGAGUCAGGAACACAUCAGGAACAAACUGAGACACAGUCUCACUGAGACUAGAAGACAAGGAGGGGACAGGGAGGUCAUGUGACCAUCACAGCUCAAUCAAUCAAUCAAUCAAUCAAUCAAUCAAUCAAUCAAUCAAUCAAUCAAUCAGUCCUUUUAUUUGUCACAUGCAAUGUUUACACCUGCAGUCAAUGAUGGUGGUUUUCCUUUAUUGCCAACAACUGCAUGUCAAUUUCACAGCCGAUCUAACAGUCCGUCACUGAUCUCUCAAUCUCCUGUUUAAGAACUGUGAGCUUCUCAAAGAUGUUAUCAAUUUUGCGCUCAAAGAGCAAAGUCUGAGUCACGAGUACUCACGACAGCCUCGAAUUUCUCCAAGUUCUCAUCCGUGCUGCGUUCAAUGAGCCCAUUUUGGGAAGUCACGACUCGUCCCAUUUGCUGUUCAUAUCAUCAUGUUGUUUUUUGUUGUCCUCUCAGUUUACCAGGUGAUGGUGGAUUCAGGGGCAGAGUCUGUCCAGCUGCCCUGCAAAACGACAGCUCACUUGCCUCAAGAUGCUAAAGUUGAGUGGAUGGACAAAUACGACAGGAAGGUCCACGUGUAUGAGAACGGCUCGGACCAGCCUGAAGAACAGGACCAGGAUUACAGAGACCGGACGAAGAUGAAUGAAGACCUGCUGAAAACUGGAGACCUCAGUCUGACCCUGAAACACCCCACAGACAGAGACAGUGACACCUACACCUGCACCGUCUACAGCAGGGAGGGAAACAUCCUGCUGAAGAAACAAGUGGAGCUGGAAGUCAGAGGUCAGUGCUGCAGACACAGGUCAAAGUUAAGUCUUAGUUAAGUCGUAGGUAAAAGUGGUUUUCCACUGAUCAUAAGAAACAUUUGUGGUUUUAAAAAGCAGUUGGAGAAUUUAUUCUUCUGUAGAGAGGAGUUUUUGAGCAGGGCUGACAGACUGAUCAGAAAGAAACAUCAGCAUUGAAAUUCCUUUAGUGUGAAAGCAAACAUGUUGGUAUUUCAUGAAGUCAGCAGAGGAACAGUUUGGAUCUGCUGCCUCCAGAGUUUUGUUCUCCUCCUUCAUAGUUUGGAGGGAACAUUUCUCACCGAGUCUGGCUCACACUUUAUGUGGAACACAAAUGUUCCUGAAAACUCACACUUACAACAAGAAAGCCAUCAUCAGUCGAGCUUCACUACCAGAAUUGACAACAUCAACAGCUAAAUAAAGAACAGCGCCUGCUUUGUAAUAAAUGAAUACAUGUCUAAUUUCUUUCUCCGUCCUAAGCACUGUCGGGUUAUGAAAGUAGCCAUGUUGAUUACAAAAUAAAUUAACUUCUAACUGGAAUUUCAGUGUUUGUAAAAAUGUAAAUUUCCAUAGUUAAGUUAUUUUGCUUUGAACUUUUACACUGACUCAGAGGUUUUAGCUAAUCCUGCUUCCUGGGACAGAGACCUGCUAACAGGUUGAAGCUGGUUAACCCUUCCUUUCAUCUGUUUGCUUGAUAAAGCUCCUUCUGUCUGCUUAAGGAUCAGAGGGUAAAAUGAGAAGUUCUGUGUGACUAAACAAACACCUGCUGAACUUUGACCUCCAGGACAAAACCAGAUAGUGGUCCCCCUCUGAGAUUUCCAUAAUUAGCACUUAGACAGUGAGCUCUGAUCUGAGCUGCUCUGUGAACACAAAUUGGGCUUUGGACUUUUGAUGAACCUCCAACACUCAGUGGAACUACAGACGGAUGAUUCAAACAGGAAGUUUCACACAAAGAAAAAUUAGAAAGAGAAAGCUGAAUGUCUGUAAUGGUGAUCUGCAUAGAUCAGAGAAUCAUCCAAUAUUGAAUCAGCGAGGAUGCAUGACUUUGAAAUGAUCAACGUUAUUGAUCCCACAGAACAGCUCAGAGAUGAGCUGAGUGAAACCUGAGGAUUUAAUGAUGUUGCUAUAGAAACGUUGAGAUAGAAAAAAAAAAAGUACUGCUUCAGGUCAAAGGUUAGUACAUGACUAUGCCAGAACUCAGCUUGUGACCAUAUAUAACACAUUUGUUAUUUUCUUUAAUGUUAAAAUUUUAUGGAUCAUUUCAGUUAAAUCAAAACUAUUUCCUUCUGAGAAGCUACAGUUUGAGUUGCCUCGUACACUUCUCAGCCAAAAACUAAACAACGUUCUGCUACUUGGUUGGACGACCAACAAAGAGCAACACUGACACUGUGUUUCUGUCCAUCAUCAAGACACAUUUAUUCACACUGUCAACUGUCUAAUUAAGCUAAUCACAUGUUUAGACCAAUUAGUGACUCUGAGGUGCCUGUAGGUGUAACUGCUGAUUUUGAAAUCACAUAAAUACACUUAUAUUUUUAAGUGUUUUCAUAGUUAAUUAUUACUAUUAAUGUAUAUUAAUGUAUAAAAUUGUCAGCAGAUUUUCAAGACUUGUCUUUGUAAAGUACAAUUUGAAAAGAUAGAACUAACACCACCCAACCCCCACCCACCCAGACUCACCCAGCGAUGAGAUAGAUUCACCAGGGGCAACGGGGAACAACCACCCUGAAGACCUCAGUCUGACGCUGAAACACCCCACAGAUGGAGACAACUCCACCUACACCUGCACCGUCUGCAGCAGGGAGGGAAACAUCCUCAAGAAACAAGUGGAGCUGAAAUUCAGAGGUCAGUGCUGCAGACCUCUGUCUUUGUUUUCUGUUUCCAGGCAGCUAAUGAGAAGCUGAUUGAAGGUAAACGUGGCUUCCAAUUCAAAAGUGCCUCUUUGAGUUUGGAGUCAGAGUGAAUCUUAUGGAGUCAGUGCAGCAUUUCUUUGCUAAACAUGCCAGGCGAGUGUUUCCUUUAGGUGGAGAACACAGGACACCGACAGCAGUAGCUCAAAGCUUUGAGGACACACAGAAAUAUGAUAAUGAGUGGAAACUCUGGUGGUUUUAAACAGUAGCUGGGGAAUUACUUCUUCUGCAGAAACUAAUUAGUGGGGAAGAAAGACCAUGAUUUAGGUCCUUGCAAUGUGAAACCAAACACGCUGUUUUCAGGUAGUUAAUGUGGAGAUCUUCACAUUAGACCCAAAUCAGUGUGGAGUAUUAUAACAACAGGAUUCCUUGUGCAUACUUGUACACGAGUGUUCAUAUGCGAGUAUACCCCCAACACUCCAGGAGGAUUGCCAGGAUUUAUACAUCGGGGAAACCAAACAACCUCUGGCACAACACAGAAGAGCUACCUCAUCAGGCCAGGACUCUGCAGUCUAUUUACACCUACAGGCCAGUGGACACUCUUUCAAGGAUGAGGAUGUACACAUUGAUUGAUCAUUGAUCAGUGGUUGCUGAUCAAUGGUCAUACAGUGGCAUAUUAAUGAUCAAGGAACUGGCCUCGUAGUCCAUUGUUCAUUUACAGAGAUGGGCAGUAACGCGUAACGCGUUACUGUAAUCUGAUUACUUUUUUCAAGUAACGAGUAAUGUAAGGGAUUACUAUUGCAAAAACAGUAAUUAGAUUACCGUUACUUUCACGUAGGAACGCUGCGUUACUCCCUUACUAAAACCGUGAUUUUUUGCGAGAAUGUCUCAUGACAGUGACGUAAGCGAGUGCGACGUUCGUGACAACAGCUGUGUGCAGAUCAUAAUAUAUCAAGUGCGGGACAGAGUGUAGCAUGCAGCGUUCAAAGUGUGGAAGUACUGACCUUAUUUUGAGUUUGAUUCCAUCAAAAGUGACAAAAACAUUAGUGUCCGUUGUGCGUGGGAAGAAAACUUCUUUUUACAGCGAAAAAAACCCCUAAACUUCCAAGCAAGCAGCGAGUGUACUAUGACGUAAUGUGAAACUCACAGAGAAACUCGCGGAUUCUUCCACUGACCGCUGCAGCACACCUGCACCAGGGUAAACCUCCGCCUAACCCACUCCUGCUUUACAGGUGAAAAUAGAGCAACAGGACCGCUAGUCUUUGAUUUUAUUUAUUUUCUGCUGUGUUUUACUUUCAUCUAUUUGAAAGAGUGAGUGUAAACACAAAAAAAUAUUUUAUUUUAAAUGCUGGAAUGUGCAGAAAAUAGGUUUAAUUGUUAAACAAAUUUCUUCCAGUCAGAGAAUGUUGCAUAUAAUUAAGUUUUUGCUUGAUGCAUAAUGUUAAAAGAUUUAAAGUUUAAAGUUUUAAAAAGAGACGUUUCCAUUUGAUUACAUUUUGUAUGAUGGAUUAUGCAGAAAAAGUAGAAUUGGGCUGAAAGAUCUAUCGCUUUGUGGAGGUAAGCAUCAA
Long non-coding RNA from Oreochromis niloticus (Nile tilapia), 5400 nucleotides. Lineage: Eukaryota; Metazoa; Chordata; Actinopteri; Cichliformes; Cichlidae. The record is from Ensembl.